AACAGUCACAGACUGUAACAGUUUAGAUUUGCAAAACAGGUUUUAUACCAAAAUGAGGAUAAUCUGCCUUUUAAACCAACCACCUCCCAGGUUUGAGGUACAAUACAUUUCUUGGCAAAUCUAUUCAGAAUAGAAAUCGUCUGAGAAAAAUAUCAGUACAAAAAUUCUGAACUCCCAGCUUUGGGCUGGACAAGGGAACCCACGCAUGUGGCCUCGCUUUUACCCCAGUGCCAGAAAAGGCCAGGAGUUCAGCAGAUGGAAGUCACCUUGAAAAGGCCUGUAUGGAGAAAACUUACAGGUUUCAGUUGUCUUUUUGAUCUGUGUGAGGUUCCAAAAGGAAAAGUACCGACAGGAGAAGUGCAAACUUGUGAGCAGUGCUUCUGAAAACAACAGCGCAUCUGACUGACUUGUUAUUUGUGUUUUCUCUCUUCACAGAAUCCCGGCAGGAGGAAUAGGAGGAGGAAUGGGAGGAGGAGGAGGAAUGGGAGGAGGAAUGGGAGGCGGCAGAAUAGGUGGUGGUGGUUUCUCUGGAGGAGGAAGAGGAGGAAGUGGUAGCAUGUGUGGUGGGAUGGGAGGAGGAAUAGGAGGAGGAAGCGGAGGAAUAGGAGGGGGAAGCGGAGGAAGCUGCAUCAUUGGCGGAGGAGGAAGCGGAGGAGGAGGAAGGACCUCAGGAGGCGUCAGCAGUUCCCACUCCUACUCUUCAUCUUCCCAGUCUCAGUCAUGCAGGGGCGGUGGUGAAAGCCAAGGUUACGGAAGAAAAUCCUUUGACUAAGAACUGAGGAUUCUACAGUGCAAGACCUGUCAAAGAGAAAUCGGCCCAACACCCCAGUAUUCCUCAGGCUCCUGAGGAAGGAGAUGCUCCUACCAGCUCCUCACUGCUGCUGCUCUGCCCAAAGGGUCCGUCAGAGCCGCUCUGACAGGCCAGCUGCUGUGCGUGCCACGCGCUGCCUCUGCAUAGAAUGCUUGGUGGGCUCAAUCACUUGUACUUGAAAUGCUUGCUUUAAAGAUUCAACCAGUUUGUUAUUUGGCUGUUCCGUAUGAGAAAAACGUCUCUAAUAAAACUUCAUUUCUGUCUGAUGCA
This 1081-nucleotide long non-coding RNA is filed under the name Chrysolophus pictus (golden pheasant). RNAcentral's name for it is "lncRNA (ENSCPIG00010005166.1)". Lineage: Eukaryota; Metazoa; Chordata; Aves; Galliformes; Phasianidae. The record is from RNAcentral.